CUAGUCAGAGGCACAUGGAUGUACGAAUGCCAUCAAAGGCCAGUCACGAUUAUACUGGUCACUCUGGGAAGGAUCCAAAAUAAGUAACUAUGAAACAAGAUGAUUAUAUCACAUGGAUAACUGAGAACUGAGUUGAAGCAGUUGGAGUGUAUAAUUCUUCAGAGAGGAUACGUACAUACCCAGCCUAACUCCAUUUUGCAGGAUCUUCUUUCAAGGUCUUCGUCUGGUGGCAAGUGUGUGAAUGGAGCUCCAGAGAGAGAGAGGUGUUUGUGAUUCAGAGCUUGACCUUAUGCCAGCUUCAAAGUGACAGAUUGAUGUCUUUGCUGGACAUCAGUGGAGCUUUUAUUGGACACACACCUUUUUUACCCUGAUUAUGAAGUUGAUGGAGAAACUGUCAACGCUGGUCUCAUGGAUCACAUGAUAGCAGAGCUUUUUGAGAAGUCUGUUAAGAAGAUGUUUUCAACGUAGAUACGUUGUGGAAACUGUU
This is a long non-coding RNA of Ictalurus punctatus (channel catfish), 487 nucleotides long. NCBI's taxonomy places the organism in Eukaryota, Metazoa, Chordata, Actinopteri, Siluriformes, Ictaluridae. The record is from Ensembl.